ACGACCUUACUUGAACAGGAUCUGUUCUAUAGGAUCGUACCGUUGCACCCUUGAUUAUUAAGGAGGCAAGGUUGAUGAACCAUGACCUGUGGGCCAGAGCGUGAUUAACGGCUAUUAAGGAGGCAAGGUUGAUGAACCAUGACCUGUGGGCCAGAGCGUGAUUAACGGCCAGGACCUGCUUGAUGUCUGUUUCCGGAGCUGUAGAGGAUCGUUCCCCCCUUCUGGGGUGGGCUCAUAGGUUGUUGAC
Molecule: small nucleolar RNA, 247 nt
Filed under: Zea mays
Lineage: Eukaryota; Viridiplantae; Streptophyta; Magnoliopsida; Poales; Poaceae
Description: Plant small nucleolar RNA U3
Rfam family: Plant small nucleolar RNA U3
About the family: Small nucleolar RNAs (snoRNAs) are involved in the processing and modification of rRNA in the nucleolus. There are two main classes of snoRNAs: the box C/D class, and the box H/ACA class.
Source: Rfam by way of RNAcentral